This 27-nucleotide non-coding RNA is filed under the name Mus musculus (house mouse). Lineage: Eukaryota; Metazoa; Chordata; Mammalia; Rodentia; Muridae. The record is from RNAcentral.
UAGUUCUUCUCUGUAACUUGGUUGAUA